GCCCAAACUAGACAUUAUUCUCUGUCGAUUUCUGUUUGAUUUAUUUUACAGUUUAAAUGUAUUAUGGUAUCUGGUUUAUCUAUUCUAUGGUUUUAAAUGCAUGUAUCACUUACUUCACUACUGUUUGAUUUGGUGACGUAGAUUUAGGACAAACAAGAAUGGGAUGUGAUCUGAUAUAUGGAUAAGAUGACAGCCUCACUAGAUAUCCUAGGAGAUGGUAGACGAA
RNAcentral lists this long non-coding RNA (226 nucleotides) under Carica papaya (papaya). Its description in RNAcentral is "long non-coding RNA (CPAP_LNC014280)". The record is from RNAcentral. Lineage: Eukaryota; Viridiplantae; Streptophyta; Magnoliopsida; Brassicales; Caricaceae.